AAUAAAUAUAGUUUUAUUAAAAGAGAUUAAAUGGUAAAGCAUGAAAUUUAAAAAAUUUGGCGGUACUUAUAAUUUAGAGGAACCUGUAUAGUAAUUGAUAGUCCACGAUAAGAUUUACUUAAUAAUAAAAGUUUAUGUAUUGCUGUUUUGAAUAUUUAAUUAAGUUAGGUUGGGAUAAGAUUUAUAAUUAUUAAAAUAAUUCAAGUCAAAAUAUAGCUUUUUUAAGAAUUAAUAUGGGUUACAAUUAAUUAAAUUAAUGUUGGAUUAAUAAAAUUUAAUUUUUUUUAAGAAAUUGGAUUUAAAAGUAAAUUUAAUAAAUUUAUUAAGUUGAAUAAUUAAAAUAAGUAUGU
RNAcentral lists this ribosomal RNA (350 nucleotides) under Vespula flavopilosa. Its description in RNAcentral is "partial 12S ribosomal RNA". Lineage: Eukaryota; Metazoa; Arthropoda; Insecta; Hymenoptera; Vespidae. The record is from RNAcentral.